RNAcentral lists this ribosomal RNA (252 nucleotides) under uncultured bacterium. RNAcentral describes it as "partial 16S ribosomal RNA". It matches the Rfam family "Bacterial small subunit ribosomal RNA", at positions 524 to 776 of the family's 1533-position model. The record is from RNAcentral.
UACGUAGGGCGCAAGCGUUAUCCGGAAUUAUUGGGCGUAAAGAGCUCGUAGGCGGUUUGUCGCGUCUGCCGUGAAAGUCCGGGGCUCAACUCCGGAUCUGCGGUGGGUACGGGCAGACUAGAGUGAUGUAGGGGAGACUGGAAUUCCUGGUGUAGCGGUGAAAUGCGCAGAUAUCAGGAGGAACACCGGUGGCGAAGGCGGGUCUCUGGGCCGUAACUGACGCUGAGGAGCGAAAGCGUGGGAGCGAACAGG